Molecule: ribosomal RNA, 1445 nt
Filed under: uncultured marine bacterium
Lineage: Bacteria
Description: 16S ribosomal RNA
Rfam family: Bacterial small subunit ribosomal RNA
Source: RNAcentral
ACGCUGGCGGCACGCCUAACACAUGCAAGUCGAGCGAAGUAGCAAUACUUAGUGGCAGACGGGUGAGUAACAUGUAGGUAUCUGCCCUUUGGCCUGGAAUAACACGAGGAAACUUGUGCUAAUACCGGAUAAGUCUUUACGGAGAAAGCUUUAUGCACCAUUGGAUGAGCCUGCACUUGAUUAGUUCGUUGGUAGGGUAAUGGCCUACCAAGACUAUGAUCAAUAGCUGAUUUGAGAGGAUGAUCAGCCACAUUGGGACUGAGACACGGCCCAAACUCCUACGGGAGGCAGCAGUGGGGAAUCUUGCACAAUGGAGGAAACUCUGAUGCAGCGAUGCCGCGUGAGUGAAGAAGGCCUUUGGGUUGUAAAGCUCUUUCGUCGGGGAAGAAAAUGACUGUACCCGAAUAAGAAGGUCCGGCUAACUUCGUGCCAGCAGCCGCGGUAAUACGAAGGGACCUAGCGUAGUUCGGAAUUACUGGGCUUAAAGAGUUCGUAGGUGGUUGAAAAAGUUGGUGGUGAAAUCCCAGAGCUUAACUCUGGAACUGCCAUCAAAACUUUUCAGCUAGAGUAUGAUAGAGGAAAGCAGAAUUUCUAGUGUAGAGGUGAAAUUCGUAGAUAUUAGAAAGAAUACCAAUUGCGAAGGCAGCUUUCUGGAUCAUUACUGACACUGAGGAACGAAAGCAUGGGUAGCGAAGAGGAUUAGAUACCCUCGUAGUCCAUGCCGUAAACGAUGUGUGUUAGACGUUGGAAAUUUAUUUUCAGUGUCGCAGCGAAAGCGAUAAACACACCGCCUGGGGAGUACGACCGCAAGGUUAAAACUCAAAUGAAUUGACGGGGACCCGCACAAGUAGUGGAGCAUGUGGUUUAAUUCGAAGAUACGCGCAGAACCUUACCAACACUUGACAUGUUCGUCGCGACUUUAAGAGAUUAGAGUUUUCGGUUCGGCCGGACGAAACACAGGUGCUGCAUGGCUGUCGUCAGCUCGUGUCGUGAGAUGUUGGGUUAAGUCCCGCAACGAGCGCAACCCUCACUUUUAGUUGCCAUCAUUUAGUUGGGCACUCUGAAAGAACUGCCAGUGAUAAGCUGGAGGAAGGUGGGGAUGACGUCAAGUCCUCAUGGCCCUUACGUGUUGGGCUACACACGUGCUACAAUGGUAUCUACAACAGGAAGCAAGACUGCGAGGUCAAGCAAAUCCCUAAAAGAUACCUCAGUUCGGAUUGCACUCUGCAACUCGAGUGCAUGAAGCUGGAAUUACUAGUAAUCGUAGAUCAGCGUGCUACGGUGAAUGCGUUCCCGGGUCUUGUACACACCGCCCGUCACACCAUGGGAGUUGGUUCUACCUUAAGGCAAGGCUUUAAACCCUUGACCACGGUAUAGUCAGCGACUGGGGUGAAGUCGUAACAAGGUAGCCGUAGGGGAACCUGCGGCUGGAUUACCUCCUUUCU